Molecule: small RNA, 185 nt
Filed under: Marmota monax (woodchuck)
Lineage: Eukaryota; Metazoa; Chordata; Mammalia; Rodentia; Sciuridae
Source: RNAcentral
UAGUAAUGUUAAAGCAAAAUGAGCAGGAGGUUAUUUGCUUGGAUUUCUUUCUCAGAACUUUAUGUAAGCAAACUGAAACAAAAAUUGAAGGUUUUUUUCUUGUGUGUGUGUGUGUGUGUGUGUGUGUGUGACUGACUUAGGGCAGAGGGCAAGAUAGAAAAUAUCUGGCCUCAGUUGAUCACAAA